UGGCUCCUACGGGGGGCAGCAGUGGGGAAUAUUGCGCAAUGGGGGCAACCCUGACGCAGCAACGCCGCGUGCAGGAAGAAGGUCUUCGGAUUGUAAACUGUUGUCGCAGGGGAAGAAGACAGUGACGGUACCCUGUGAGAAAGUCACGGCUAACUACGUGCCAGCAGCCGCGGUAAUACGUAGGAGACAAGCGUUGUCCGGAUUUACUGGGUGUAAAGGGAGCGAAGGCGGGAUAGGAAGUCAGUCGUGAAAUG
This 254-nucleotide ribosomal RNA is filed under the name uncultured bacterium. Its description in RNAcentral is "partial 16S ribosomal RNA". It matches the Rfam family "Bacterial small subunit ribosomal RNA", at positions 333 to 601 of the family's 1533-position model. The record is from RNAcentral.